RNAcentral lists this ribosomal RNA (460 nucleotides) under uncultured bacterium. RNAcentral describes it as "partial 16S ribosomal RNA". It matches the Rfam family "Bacterial small subunit ribosomal RNA", at positions 338 to 795 of the family's 1533-position model. The record is from RNAcentral.
CCUACGGGAGGCAGCAGUGAGGAAUAUUGGUCAAUGGCCGUAAGGCUGAACCAGCCAAGUCGCGUGAAGGAAGAAGGAUCUAUGGUUUGUAAACUUCUUUUAUCGGGGAAUAAAGGUAUCCACGUGUGGAUAUUUGCAUGUACCCUAUGAAUAAGCAUCGGCUAACUCCGUGCCAGCAGCCGCGGUAAUACGGAGGAUGCGAGCGUUAUCCGGAUUUAUUGGGUUUAAAGGGUGCGUAGGUUGUUUUUUAAGUCAGCGGGGAAAGUUUGUGGCUCAACCAUAAAAUUGCCGUUGAAACUGGAAGACUUGAGUGUGUUUGAGGUAGGCGGAAUGCGUGGUGUAGCGGUGAAAUGCAUAGAUAUCACGCAGAACUCCGAUUGCGAAGGCAGCUUACUAAGCCAUAACUGACACUGAAGCACGAAAGCGUGGGGAUCAAACAGGAUUAGAUACCCGGGUAGUC